GGAGAGGUGGCCGAGCGGCUGAAGGCCCACGCCUGCUAAGCGUGUACAGGGGUAACUCUGUCGUGGGUUCGAAUCCCACCCUCUCCG
This 87-nucleotide transfer RNA is filed under the name Candidatus Hatepunaea meridiana. RNAcentral's name for it is "tRNA-Ser". It matches the Rfam family "tRNA". From Rfam's summary of the family: Transfer RNA (tRNA) molecules are approximately 80 nucleotides in length. Their secondary structure includes four short double-helical elements and three loops (D, anti-codon, and T loops). The record is from RNAcentral. Lineage: Bacteria; Pseudomonadati; Candidatus Electryoneota; Candidatus Electryoneia; Candidatus Hatepunaeales; Candidatus Hatepunaeaceae.